AUACGGAGGGUGCAAGCGUUGUUCGGAAUUAUUGGGCGUAAAGCGCGUGUAGGCGGUCUGUUAAGUCUGGUGUGAAAGCCCUGGGCUCAACCCAGGAAGUGCAUUGGAUACUGGCAGACUUGAGUAUGGGAGAGGAAAGCGGAAUUCCGAGUGUAGGAGUGAAAUCCGUAGAUAUUCGGAGGAACACCAGUGGCGAAGGCGGCUUUCUGGACCAAUACUGACGCUGAGACGCGAAAGCGUGGGGAGCAAACAGGAUUAGAAACCCCAGUAGUCC
Molecule: ribosomal RNA, 274 nt
Filed under: uncultured bacterium
Lineage: Bacteria
Description: partial 16S ribosomal RNA
Rfam family: Bacterial small subunit ribosomal RNA
Source: RNAcentral